RNAcentral lists this ribosomal RNA (504 nucleotides) under Lampyridae sp. UPOL ZL2011. RNAcentral's name for it is "partial 16S ribosomal RNA". The stretch from base 383 to 504 matches the Rfam family "Bacterial large subunit ribosomal RNA", at positions 2473 to 2595 of the family's 2925-position model. Lineage: Eukaryota; Metazoa; Arthropoda; Insecta; Coleoptera; Lampyridae. The record is from RNAcentral.
CAUGUUUUUUUGAUAAUAAUUUAAGAUUUAAUCUGCUCAAUGAUUAAUUAAAUUGCCGCAGUAUUUUAACUGUGCAAAGGUAGCAUAAUAAUUAGUUUCUUUAUUGGGAACUGGAAUGAAUGAUUGGACGAGAAAAUUUCUGUCUCUUUAUUAGUUUUAUUUAAUUUUACUUUUAAGUUAAAAGGCUUAACUUUAUUUAAAAGACGAGAAGACCCUAUAGAGUUUAAUUUAUUAAAAUUUAUUUUUUAUUGGUAUUUUUUUAAUUUAUUUUUUAAUAAAUUUAGUUGGGGUGACUAAAAGAUUUAUAAAACUCUUUUAAUAUUAAUCAAUUAUAUUUGAAUAUUAAAUCUAUAUUUUUAAAUUUAAAAUAAAUUACCUUAGGGAUAACAGCGUAAUUUUUUUUUAAAGUUCAUAUUAAAAGGAAAGUUUGCGACCUCGAUGUUGGAUUAAAAUUUAUUUUUGGUGUAGAAGCUUAAAAAUUAAGUCUGUUCGACUUUUAUAAUU